Non-coding RNA from Pelobates cultripes (western spadefoot toad), 895 nucleotides. NCBI's taxonomy places the organism in Eukaryota, Metazoa, Chordata, Amphibia, Anura, Pelobatidae. The record is from the annotation of a GenBank genome assembly.
UGUCUGUGUGUGCGUGUGACUGCCUUUGUGUGUGACUGCCUGUGUGUGUCUGUCUGCCUGUGUAUGUUACUGUCUGUGUGUGACUGUGUGUGUGUGUGACUGUGUGUGUGUAACGGUCUGCCUGUGUGUGUGUGACUGUCUGCCUGUGUGUGUGUGACUGUCUGCCUGUGUGUGUGUGGCUGUCUGCCUGUCUGUAUGUGUGGAUGUUUGCCUCGGUGUCAGUGACUGUCUGCCUCUGUGUUUGUGUGCGCACCUGCUAGUGAGGGAGCCUCUGUGUGUGUGUGCCUGCUAGUGAGUUUGUGUGUGUGUGUGUGUGCCUGCUAGUGAGUGAGCUUGUAUGUGUGUCAGUGAGCUUGUCUGUAGGGAUCAUGUGUGUGUGUGUUAGUGAGCUCUUGUCUGUAAGGAGCAUGGGUGUGAUCGUGAGCUUGUCUGUAGUGACCAUAUGUGUCAGUGAGCUUGUCUGUAGUGAGCGUGUGUGUCAUUGAGCUUGUCUGUAGUGACCGUAUGUGUCAGUGAGCUUGUCUGUAGUGAGCGUGUGUGUCAGUGAGCUUGUCUGUAGUGAGCACGUGUGUGUCAGUGAGCUUGUCUGUAGUGAAUCUGUGUUAGUGAGCUCUUCUGUAGGGAGCAUGUGUGUGUCAAUGGGCUUGUCAGUAGUAAGCUUGUCUGUGUAUCAGAGUUUGUCUGUACUAAAUUUGUGUGUCUGCCAGUAACCUUGUCUGUGUGUGUCAUUGAGAUUGUCUGUCAAUGAGCCUAUUUGUGUGCAUCAGUAAGAUUGUCUGUGUCUGUGUGUGAGUAUGCUUUACUGUAUACUUUAAUUACCCUGAAAGGACUAAUAUUUUGAAUUAGAAGAAGAAAUGUAUCAAUAAUAUAUAUAUAUACAUACAUUAAAGGACCA